AGAAACAUUGAAGUGAGAGAGCCACAUCAGUUGGUUGCCUCCUACACCCGUUGGGGCAGGGAACCUGCAACCCAGGUAUGUGCCCUUGACCAGAAUCACACCCGCGACCCUUCGGUUUGAGGGCCGACACUCAGCCAUGCCGGCCAGGGCCCACCGGGACACUUUUGAAGAGUAUCCGCCAGUAUCUGUCGAAAGUCUCUCAGUUCAGGUUUGUCUUAUGUUUUCUCCUGAUUGGACCGAUGUGUUUUCGUAAGCUGCGCCCCAGGCCCUCCCCACCCCACUGUCUGCGUCCACGGGUCAUGCGCACAUGCAGGCAAGGAAAGACCAAAUAGGUGAACAAAAAAGUGCGCCCAGUGCUGUUACCGCUUAGUGAACACGGGUUUUAGGAGCUCCGAGCCAGGACCUGGAGGCCGAGACCCGAUAUAUGACUUCCAUGAUUUCACAGGACACAGUUCAACCCACGGCUCUCCGCUCGCAGCAGGCGGCUGCAGGAGCCGUAUUUCUGCCAGGACGGCUGGGAGGCCCAGGGAAAUCCCAUUUCUCAGGGAGGAUGCCUUCGGUAAACUUCACAUGAUUCAAACCUUUGUAGUCCCAGAACCUCUUUCCCCCACAGGAAUGACUGUAAAGUAAGUGAUCAAAUGCGUUCGCACAGCUCGUAAGUCCACAACCGUCUCCCACAUUUUUUGCUUUUGAUGCUGCUUUGUAUCGUUGCAGCAUAAUCUCUGCCCUCCAGCCCUCUCCUCCGUUAACAGCACCACCUGUCGAGGAGCUGCUGUGUGGUGAAGACCUCCAAGCAGUGCCCGGAAAAGCCCGGGUGGCAAGGAACCCGAGGCCCCUGGCCAACUCGCUGGCCAGGCGUGCGAGCGCCCUACCUGGGAAGCCGCUCCCGCAGCGCCAGUCAAACCGGCACAGCCCGGGCACCCAUCUUGACUGCGACAUCGCAGGAGACCCCGAGCCGGAACCAGCCCGGCGAACCAGUCGCUCCUGGAUCCCUGACCCAUUUGGAACCGUGUGAUUUAAUAAAUGUUGAUUGUUUCAAGCUGC
Myotis myotis is the source of this 1044-nucleotide long non-coding RNA. RefSeq lists it as uncharacterized. The transcript has 2 exons. Lineage: Eukaryota; Metazoa; Chordata; Mammalia; Chiroptera; Vespertilionidae. The record is from RefSeq and is a predicted model, not a curated record.